RNAcentral lists this ribosomal RNA (301 nucleotides) under uncultured bacterium. RNAcentral describes it as "partial 16S ribosomal RNA". It matches the Rfam family "Bacterial small subunit ribosomal RNA", at positions 509 to 809 of the family's 1533-position model. The record is from RNAcentral.
CAGUCGCCGCGGGAAUACGUAGGGUGCAAGCGUUAAUCGGAAUUACUGGGCGUAAAGCGUGCGCAGGCGGUUUUGUAAGACAGAGGUGAAAUCCCCGGGCUCAACCUGGGAACUGCCUUUGUGACUGCAAGGCUUGAGUGCGGCAGAGGGGGAUGGAAUUUCGCGUGUAGCAGUGAAAUGCGUAGAUAUGCGGAGGAACACCGAUGGCGAAGGCAAUCCCCUGGGCCUGCACUGACGCUCAUGCACGAAAGCGUGGGGAGCAAACAGGAUUAGAUACCCGCGUAGUCCCUGUCUCUUAUAA